This 484-nucleotide ribosomal RNA is filed under the name uncultured bacterium. RNAcentral describes it as "partial 16S ribosomal RNA". It matches the Rfam family "Bacterial small subunit ribosomal RNA", at positions 30 to 507 of the family's 1533-position model. The record is from RNAcentral.
AUUGAACGCUGGCGGCAGGCCUAACACAUGCAAGUCGAGCGGAUGAAGGGAGCCUGCUCCUGGAUUCAGCGGCGGACGGGUGAGUAAUGCCUAGGAAUCUGCCUGGUAGUGGGGGAUAACGUCCGGAAACGGGCGCUAAUACCGCAUACGUCCUGAGGGAGAAAGUGGGGGAUCUUCGGACCUCACGCUAUCAGAUGAGCCUAGGUCGGAUUAGCUAGUUGGUGGGGUAAAGGCCUACCAAGGCGACGAUCCGUAACUGGUCUGAGAGGAUGAUCAGUCACACUGGAACUGAGACACGGUCCAGACUCCUACGGGAGGCAGCAGUGGGGAAUAUUGGACAAUGGGCGAAAGCCUGAUCCAGCCAUGCCGCGUGUGUGAAGAAGGUCUUCGGAUUGUAAAGCACUUUAAGUUGGGAGGAAGGGCAGUAAGUUAAUACCUUGCUGUGUUGACGUUACCAACAGAAUAAGCACCGGCGAACUUCGUG